RNAcentral lists this ribosomal RNA (347 nucleotides) under uncultured bacterium. RNAcentral's name for it is "bacterial SSU rRNA". It matches the Rfam family "Bacterial small subunit ribosomal RNA", at positions 917 to 1267 of the family's 1533-position model. The record is from RNAcentral.
GGGCCCGCACAAGCGGUGGAGCAUGUGGUUUAAUUCGAUGAUACGCGAGGAACCUUACCAGGGCUUAAAUGCAGAAUGACAGAUUGGGAAACCAGUCCUUCUUCGGACAUUUUGCAAGGUGCUGCAUGGUUGUCGUCAGCUCGUGCCGUGAGGUGUCAGGUUAAGUCCUAUAACGAGCGCAACCCCUAUCAUUAGUUGCCAGCGGGUAAUGCCGGGAACUCUAAUGAGACUGCCAGCGCAAGCUGCGAGGAAGGUGGGGAUGACGUCAAAUCAUCACGGCCCUUACGUCCUGGCUACACACGUGCUACAAUGGUUGGGACAAUGGGCAGCCACUACGCAAGUAGGAG